UUUCCGCAUGGGCGAAAGCCUGACGGAGCAACGCCGCGUGAGGGAUGAAGGCCUCUGGGCUGUAAACCUCUUUUAUCAAGGAAGAAGAUCUGACGGUACUUGAUGAAUAAGCCACGGCUAAUUCCGUGCCAGCAGCCGCGGUAAUACGGGAGUGGCAAGCGUUAUCCGGAAUUAUUGGGCGUAAAGCGUCCGCAGGCGGCCCUUCAAGUCUGCUGUUAAAAAGUGGAGCUUAACUCCAUCAUGGCAGUGGAAACUGUUGGGCUUGAGUGUGGUAGGGGCAGAGGGAAUUCCCGGUGUAGCGGUGAAAUGCGUAGAUAUCGGGAAGAACACCAGUGGCGAAGGCGCUCUGCUGGGCCAUCACUGACGCUCAUGGACGAAAGCCAGGGGAGCGAAAGGGAUUAGAUACCCCUGUAGUCCUGGCCGUAAACGAUGAACACUAGGUGUCGGGGGAAUCGACCCCUCCGGUGUCGUAGCCAACGCGUUAAGUGUUCCGCCUGGGGAGUACGCACGCAA
Molecule: ribosomal RNA, 513 nt
Filed under: uncultured cyanobacterium
Lineage: Bacteria; Bacillati; Cyanobacteriota
Description: bacterial SSU rRNA
Rfam family: Bacterial small subunit ribosomal RNA
Source: RNAcentral